Molecule: ribosomal RNA, 740 nt
Filed under: Microcella alkalica
Lineage: Bacteria; Bacillati; Actinomycetota; Actinomycetes; Micrococcales; Microbacteriaceae
Description: bacterial SSU rRNA
Rfam family: Bacterial small subunit ribosomal RNA
Source: RNAcentral
GGAGCUUGCUCCUGCUGGAUCAGUGGCGAACGGGUGAGUAACACGUGAGUAACCUGCCCUUGACUCUGGGAUAAGCGUUGGAAACGACGUCUAAUACCGGAUACGAGCUUCAGCCGCAUGGCUAGGAGUUGGAAAGAAUUUCGGUCAAGGAUGGACUCGCGGCCUAUCAGCUUGUUGGUGAGGUAAUGGCUCACCAAGGCGACGACGGGUAGCCGGCCUGAGAGGGUGACCGGCCACACUGGGACUGAGACACGGCCCAGACUCCUACGGGAGGCAGCAGUGGGGAAUAUUGCACAAUGGGCGCAAGCCUGAUGCAGCAACGCCGCGUGAGGGACGACGGCCUUCGGGUUGUAAACCUCUUUUAGCAGGGAAGAAGCGAAAGUGACGGUACCUGCAGAAAAAGCACCGGCUAACUACGUGCCAGCAGCCGCGGUAAUACGUAGGGUGCAAGCGUUGUCCGGAAUUAUUGGGCGUAAAGAGCUCGUAGGCGGUUUGUCGCGUCUGCUGUGAAAACGCGAGGCUCAACCUCGCGCCUGCAGUGGGUACGGGCAGACUAGAGUGCGGUAGGGGAGAUUGGAAUUCCUGGUGUAGCGGUGGAAUGCGCAGAUAUCAGGAGGAACACCGAUGGCGAAGGCAGAUCUCUGGGCCGUAACUGACGCUGAGGAGCGAAAGCGUGGGGAGCGAACAGGAUUAGAUACCCUGGUAGUCCACGCCGUAAACGUUGGGAACUAGAUGUAGGG